ACGCAGGCACAACCUUGAAAUAUUCCUGUUUACUUGUUCAUGCAUUUUGUUUUACUAGUGUUUUGGUUCCUCAGAGUGCUGCUGAAGGAGAGUAAAAGAGUCCAUUGCCCCACUGCACCUCUACAGCAAGUGAAGAGGAAGUUGAAGUCGGAGAAGAAACAGUCCUCUUUGGGCAGUGGGCCAACUGUUCCAGGGACCUCCAGUGGGCCUGUGGAGCCUCAGGUUUUCCUAGGAGUUCAACCCCAGAAUGGAUCACCUCUUCUGGGCUCAGGCGUAUCCACAACCCCCCAGAAUCUAGAUGACUCUCUGGACCAGGGUCGCAUCCUCACACCCCCCUCUUUAGGAGUUGUGAAGGAGGAGCUAGCUGAGCUGAGGGGGGAGGAGAGUUGCAGGGCUGAUUUUGGUUUCCCCACCACUGUGUUGACCCCCUACGAUGAUUUGAAGCCUGUCAGCAUGUCAGCCAAUGCCAACACACAUGCUCAGUCAACAACCGCAAACACACACCCUCAGCCGAACACUCACUCCCAGUCUCCUCUGACCGUGCUAGCUGACCAGGCGCUGGUGCAAGUCCACAUCCACAAAGACUACAUUUCCCAGGGGCACCUAGCAGUGAUGCCGGACCUUUCACUCCAGAACGGCCACCCUCCUCCACCACAGAAGAAGAAGAAGAAACGGGUAACCACAUUAUUUAAAGUUGACAGAUGGGUACAAUGCAUUAUAAUGUGUUUGUGA
RNAcentral lists this long non-coding RNA (732 nucleotides) under Salmo trutta (river trout). Its description in RNAcentral is "lncRNA (ENSSTUG00000003363.1)". Lineage: Eukaryota; Metazoa; Chordata; Actinopteri; Salmoniformes; Salmonidae. The record is from RNAcentral.